CGGAGCUGGAAAUGCAUUAUUCUCAAGAAAACUACAAGUUGUGAACAGUCAUGGUUUCACUGGUUGUAGUGGCUGUAUUUCUCCUCCAGGGGCCUCUAUUUCAGCCCCCUCAGGCUGAAGCCUUCAAAAUCCUCCCUACUGAUGAUUCCCUCACCCAUCAACAAAUCACUGAGGCAGCUUUCCUCCGCAAGAUGGUAGAGGUGUGCCGAAACGUGGCCACUGUCCGGGGAAAAGACUUUGCUCUACCUAUCAACAGCAAACUGACUGUAACUACCGUCCAGAAAGCCUGCUCAAAUUCAUAUUCCUCCUCAUUAAAACUAUCCACUUUCAAUCUGGCUAUUAUUCAGACUUCCCUUAGCAAUGCAGCUGUGGAUCUAAAAGUGUUCAGUACUGCUCAUCAUUUUGAUGAUGAAGAUUUCAUAAAUGGACGAGACCUCAUCACUCAGGGCGUAGCUGCUGUGAAAGUCAGCAUCAAAAAUGGGAACUAUUUGUCUGCCCG
Molecule: long non-coding RNA, 499 nt
Filed under: Sinocyclocheilus grahami
Lineage: Eukaryota; Metazoa; Chordata; Actinopteri; Cypriniformes; Cyprinidae
Description: lncRNA (ENSSGRG00000051332.1)
Source: RNAcentral